Molecule: transfer RNA, 85 nt
Organism: Plasmopara halstedii
Lineage: Eukaryota; Oomycota; Peronosporomycetes; Peronosporales; Peronosporaceae
Rfam family: tRNA
About the family: Transfer RNA (tRNA) molecules are approximately 80 nucleotides in length.
Source: Rfam
GGAUAGAUGAUCGAGUGGUUUAAGGUGUCAGUCUUGAAAACUGAAGUAUAUAAAAAUACCGUGGGUUCGAAUCCCACUCUAUCCU